Molecule: ribosomal RNA, 1814 nt
Filed under: Thiotrichales bacterium
Lineage: Bacteria; Pseudomonadati; Pseudomonadota; Gammaproteobacteria; Thiotrichales
Description: partial 23S ribosomal RNA
Rfam family: Bacterial large subunit ribosomal RNA
Source: RNAcentral
AGUUAAGUGACUAAGCGUGCACGGUGGAUGCCUAGGCGGUAGAAGGCGAUGAAGGACGUGAAAGCCUGCGAUAAGCUCCGGUGAGGUGGCAAAUAACCUUUGACCCGGAGAUUUCCGAAUGGGAAAACCCAUCCUAUAUGGAUAUCCUCUUAUGAGGAAGCUAACCCGGAGAACUGAAACAUCUAAGUACCCGGAGGAAAAGAAAUCAACCGAGAUUCCCCUAGUAGUGGCGAGCGAACGGGGACCAGCCCUUAAUGGGGGGACCACCCUCCAAGGCUAAAUACUCUCUACCGACCGAUAGUGAACCAGUACCGUGAGGGAAAGGCGAAAAGAACCCCGGAAGGGGAGUGAAAUAGAACCUGAAACCGUGUACGUACAAGCAGUGGGAGCACCUUCGUGGUGUGACUGCGUACCUUUUGUAUAAUGGGUCAGCGACUUACUGUAUGUUGCGAGGUUAACCGAAUAGGGGAGCCGUAGGGAAACCGAGUCUUAAAUGGGCGACUAGUAGCAUGCAGUAGACCCGAAACCGGGCGAUCUAUCCAUGGCCAGGUUGAAGGUGCCGUAACAGGUACUGGAGGACCGAACCCACAAAUGUUGAAAAAUUUGGGGAUGAGCUGUGGAUCGGAGUGAAAGGCUAAUCAAGCUCGGAGAUAGCUGGUUCUCCUCGAAAACUAUUUAGGUAGUGCCUCAUGUCUCACUCUUGGGGGUAGAGCACUGUUAUGGUCUAGCGGUCCGUCAAGGAUUAGCAGCCCAUUGCAAACUCCGAAUACCAAGAAGUGCAAUCAUGGGAGACAGACGGCGGGUGCUAACGUCCGUCGUCAAGAGGGAAACAACCCAGACCGCCAGCUAAGGUCCCUAAACACUGCUCAGUGGGAAAGGAUGUGGGAAGGCUCAGACAGUCAGGAGGUUGGCUUAGAAGCAGCCACCCUUUAAAGAAAGCGUAAUAGCUCACUGAUCGAGUCGGCCUGCGCCGAAGAUUUAACGGGGCUAAGCAGUGUACCGAAGCUGCGGAUGCACAUAGUGCAUGGUAGAGGAGCGUCGUGUAAGCCUGUGAAGGUGAACUGGAAAGUUUGCUGGAGGUAUCACGAGUGCGAAUGCUGACAUGAGUAGCGAUAAAGGGAGUGAAAAGCUCCCUCGCCGAAAGACCAAGGGUUCCUACGCAACGUUAAUCGACGUAGGGUUAGUCGACCCCUAAGGCGAGGCCGAAAGGCGUAGUCGAUGGGAAACAGGUUAAUAUUCCUGUACUUUUUAUUACUGCGAUGGAGGGACGGAGAAGGCUAGGUCAGCUUGCCGUUGGUUGUGCAAGUUUAAGGUCGUAGGCAGAGUGUUUAGGCAAAUCCGGACACUCAAUGCUGAGAACUGAUGACGAGUCCAUUAGGACGAAGUGAUUGAUGCCAUGCUUCCAAGAAAAGCUUCUAAGCUUCAGGUAAUAAAGAAUCGUACCCCAAACCGACACAGGUGGUCAGGAUGAGUAUUCCAAGGCGCUUGAGAGAACUCGGGUGAAGGAACUAGGCAAAAUGGUACCGUAACUUCGGGAGAAGGUACGCCCCUUAAUGUGAAGGACUUGCUCCGUAAGCAUCUGGGGGUUGCAAUAAAAUGGUGGCUGCAACUGUUUACUAAAAACAUAGCACUCUGCAAAAUCGAAAGAUGACGUAUAGGGUGUGACGCCUGCCCGGUGCCGGAAGGUUAAUUGAUGGGGUUAGCGUAAGCGAAGCUCUUGAUCGAAGCCCCGGUAAACGGCGGCCGUAACUAUAACGGUCCUAAGGUAGCGAAAUUCCUUGUCGGGUAAGUUCCGACCUGCACGAAUGGCGUAA